AUUGAACGCUGGCGGCAUGCUUUACACAUGCAAGUCGAACGGCAGCGCGGGCUUCGGCCUGGCGGCGAGUGGCGAACGGGUGAGUAAUGCAUCGGAACGUGCCCAGUAGUGGGGGAUAGCCCGGCGAAAGCCGGAUUAAUACCGCAUACGACCUGAGGGUGAAAGCGGGGGACCGAAAGGCCUCGCGCUAUUGGAGCGGCCGAUGUCGGAUUAGCUAGUUGGUGGGGUAAAGGCUUACCAAGGCGACGAUCCGUAGCUGGUCUGAGAGGACGACCAGCCAAACUGGGACUGAGACACGGCCCAGACUCCUACGGGAGGCAGCAGUGGGGAAUUUUGGGCAAUGGGGGCAAGCCUGAUGCAGCCAUGCCGCGUGCGGGAAGAAGGCCUUCGGGUUGUAAACCGCUUUUGUUCGGGAAGAAAUCCUGUGGGCUAAUACCCCGGGGGGAUGACGGUACCGGAAGAAUAAGCACCGGCUAACUACGUG
Molecule: ribosomal RNA, 484 nt
Filed under: uncultured bacterium
Lineage: Bacteria
Description: partial 16S ribosomal RNA
Rfam family: Bacterial small subunit ribosomal RNA
Source: RNAcentral